This 1428-nucleotide ribosomal RNA is filed under the name metagenome. RNAcentral describes it as "bacterial SSU rRNA". It matches the Rfam family "Archaeal small subunit ribosomal RNA". The record is from RNAcentral.
UCCGGUUGAUCCUGCCGGAGGUCAUUGCUAUCCGAGUCUGGCUAAGCCAUGCUGGUCUUCCCGCAAGGGAGGCAGAUAGCUCAGUAACACGUAGUCAAUCUGCCCUUAGGUAUGGGAUAAUCUUGGGAAACUGUGGCCUAAUCCCGUAUAGGUAAAAGGUGCUGGAAUGCUCUUUUACCCAAAGCUUCGGCGCCUAAGGAUGAGACUGCGGCCUAUUAGGCUGUUGUUAGGAUAAAAGCCUAACAAACCUAUAAUGGGUACGGGCCUUGAGAGAGGGAACCCGGAGUUGGAUUCUGAGACAAGAAUCCAGGCCCUACGGGGCGCAGCAGGCGCGAAACUUUACCAAUGCACGCAAGUGUGAGUAAGAGACUUGGAGUGGCUUCACUUUGUGGAGUCUUUUCUUUAGUGUAAAUAGCUAGAGGAAUAAGGGGUGGGUAAGACGGGUGCCAGCCGCCGCGGUAAUACCCGCGCCCCGAGUUGUGACCUCGAUUAUUGGGCUUAGAGCGGUCGUAGCCGGUUCGAUAAGUUUCUGGUGAAAUCUGGCAGCAAACUGUCAGGCAUGCUAGGGAUACAGUUGAACUUGGGACCGGGAGAGGCUGAGGGUAUUCUUGGGGUAAGGGUAAAAUCUUCUAAUCCCAAGAGGACCACCUGUGGCGAAGGCGCUCAGCUGGAACGGAUCCGACGGUGAGGGACGAAAGCGUGGGGAGCAAAUGGGAUUAGAUACCCCAGUAGUCCACGCUGUAAACGAUGCCCACUAGAUGGUUAGGAGUCCUUCAAGGGCUUCUAGUUUCGAAGCGAAAGCGUUAAGUGGGCCGCCUGGGGAGUACGGUCGCAAGACUGAAACUUAAGGGAAUUGGCGGGGGAGCACACAAGGGGUGGAGGCUGCGGUUUAAUUGGACCCAACGCCGGGAACCUUAUCAGGGGCGACAGCAGAGUGAAGGUCAGGCUGAAGACCUUACCAGACAAGCUGAGAAGUAGUGCAUGGCCGUCGUCAGUUCGUGCCGUGAGGCGUCCUGUUAAGUCAGGUAACGAACGAGACCCACACCCUAUGUUGGUAACAUAAUUAAUUUUAUGUCCACUCAUAGGGGACCGCUGGCGAUAAGUCAGAGGAAGGAGUGGGCAACGGCAGGUCCGUAUGCCCUGAAUCCCCUGGGCUACACGCGGCCUACAAUGGACAGAACAAUGUGUUGCAAUACCGAAAGGUAAAGCUAAUCACGAAAUCUGUUCCUAGUUCAGAUUGAGGGUUGCAACUUACCCUCAUGAAGCCGAAAUCCCUAGUAGUCGCUGUUUAGCAUACAGCGGCGAAUACGUUCCUGCUCCUUGCACACACUGCCCGUCAAGCCAUCCGAGUAGAUUUUAAGUGAGCCUCUAUCUUAUUGGUAGAGUCGAACUUAGUUUCUGCGAGGAGGGCUAAGUCGUAACAAGGUA